This 1302-nucleotide ribosomal RNA is filed under the name metagenome. Its description in RNAcentral is "bacterial LSU rRNA". It matches the Rfam family "Bacterial large subunit ribosomal RNA", at positions 1585 to 2866 of the family's 2925-position model. The record is from RNAcentral.
UUGAAGUAACUGAUGCCAUGCUUCCAAGAAAAGCUUCUAAGCUUCAGUCAGUAAGGGAUCGUACCCGAAACCGACACAGGUGGUCAGGUCGAGAAGACUAAGGCGCUUGAGAGAACUCUGCUGAAGGAACUAGGCAAAAUAGUACCGUAACUUCGGGAGAAGGUACGCUGUUGAUGGUGAAGGAUUUACUCCGUAAGCUAUCGGCAGCCUCAGAAACUAGGCCGCUGCAACUGUUUAUUAAAAACACAGCACUCUGCAGACACGAAAGUGGACGUAUAGGGUGUGAUGCCUGCCCGGUGCUGGAAGGUUAAUUGAUGGGGUUAGCGAAAGCGAAGCUCUUGAUCGAAGCCCCAGUGAACGGCGGCCGUAACUAUAACGGUCCUAAGGUAGCGAAAUUCCUUGUCGGGUAAGUUCCGACCUGCACGAAUGGCAUAAUGAUGGCGGCGCUGUCUCCAGCAGAGACUCAGUGAAAUCGAAAUCGCGGUGAAGAUGCCGUGUACCCGCGGCUAGACGGAAAGACCCCGUGAACCUUUACUGCAGCUUUGCAUUGAACUUUGACCUUACUUGUGUAGGAUAGGUGGGAGGCUUUGAAGCUCGGACGCCAGUUCGAGUGGAGCCAUCCUUGAAAUACCACCCUGGUAAUGUCGAGGUUCUAACCCAGAUCCGUUAUCCGGAUCGGGGACAGUGUAUGGUGGGUAGUUUGACUGGGGCGGUCUCCUCCUAAAGAGUAACGGAGGAGUACGAAGGUGCGCUCAGCGUGGUCGGAAAUCACGCAAUGAGUAUAAAGGCAAAAGCGCGCUUAACUGCGAGACCGACAAGUCGAGCAGGUACGAAAGUAGGUCUUAGUGAUCCGGUGGUUCUGUAUGGAAGGGCCAUCGCUCAACGGAUAAAAGGUACUCUGGGGAUAACAGGCUGAUACCGCCCAAGAGCUCAUAUCGACGGCGGUGUUUGGCACCUCGAUGUCGGCUCAUCUCAUCCUGGGGCUGAAGCAGGUCCCAAGGGUAUGGCUGUUCGCCAUUUAAAGAGGUACGCGAGCUGGGUUUAGAACGUCGUGAGACAGUUCGGUCCCUAUCUACCGUGGGCGUUGGAGACUUGAGAGGAUCUGCUUCUAGUACGAGAGGACCGAAGUGGACGUACCUCUGGUGUUCGGGUUGUCACGCCAGUGGCACUGCCCGGUAGCUAUGUACGGACGGGAUAACCGCUGAAAGCAUCUAAGCGGGAAGCCUACCUUAAGAUAAGGUCUCCCUGGGAGUUUAACCCCCCUAAAGAGCCGUUAGAGACCAUGACGUUGAUAGGUUCGGU